CAAAGAAUCCUUAAGAAAGAACGCUGAAAGCUGAAAAUGUAAAUAUUCGAUUUUUAAAUUAAUUUUCCUUAGUCCACAUCAUUUGGCUCCUCUAAAAUUUCUCUCAGCAGCAACAAAGUAGUCUUGCCUGUCUUUCCAAGCAAUCAUGAAAUGAAAGAAGAUUUAAUGAUGAAAUGACAAAUGCUGAGUCCAACCUAAACAAAAACACAAUUUUUAUAAUACCUACCUAAAUUACAUAUUUUUUUUUGAAAGUACCGGAAGAGAUUGAUAAAUACUUUUAUAAAUACUUUAAGAAAAAAAAAUUACUCAUGUGCGCUCAUAUAUGCUAGCAUAUAUGAGUGCUAUUCCCACCUUUUUUCAGAAAAACAAAUCUAUAUAUGGAACAAGAAAUAGAUUUUCUUUCAAUCAUUAUUUGUUUGCUUUUAGGUACAUUUUUUCUCAAGUAUUCGAACCGUGCACAAGCCAGAAAAUACUAUUCAACUCUUGUGUCUAAAUCCAGUUCAUAAAUUUAUUGAUGGCAAGAGUUGUCUGCUCUUCUCCUAUGGAACAACAAAUGCUGGAAAAACCCACACCAUACACGGCUCAAAACAAGAUCCAGGCAUCAUCCCACGUGUUCUGAGCAUAUUAUUCAAGAGCAUCAAACGAAAACAGUGCAAUGAAAUUCAGGGAUUCAUUCAGGCCAGAGUAUGGUAAUUCAAUUAGAGAAUUAAAAGAAGACGAAAUUAGAGAGCAAAUCGCCCUAAAGGAAAACUUCUCAAUUUGCCCAUGAUUCAAGUGGGGUGGACCUUUUUCAGUCUGCCAUGACUCACCAAACCGAUAAUUCCUCAUUUACACACAUCUCUCAAGCCCCUAGCGAAUUCAGUCAGAUGGAAGAGCUCAUCGAUGAAGAAACUGUGUCUGUGGAAAAUCAAGGGAAUGUUCUCUAUUCUGUUUGGUAUCAUUCCUGGAAGUCUACAACGAACAAGUGUAUGAUCUACUAGUACCACAGUCAUCAUCAGAUAAGCGAGUCCCUCUGAAAGUCGCGACAGAUAAUAGCCGUAAUGUAUUCGUCAAAGGUAUAUUACAGUUUUUUUAUAGUCUGCCAUAGGCUAACAUUAAGUAAUUCUUGAUGGAGGAUUGAGUCCUUGGGUGCCUCAAAUCUUCACCCUGCUUGUCAGUUUCCUGCGAAUUUUUAACCACCAUCAGGCGUGUGAAAAUAAACAUCACUUUUGAAAUCUGCUGUCUCUCUCUCCCUUCCCCUUCCAUUUUUGUUGGGGCUUCGGCCUCUAAUGUUCCAUCCUAAAUUUGUCCCUAUUUAUCUUUCCAUUAUGAUGGAAGCAGCAUCUGGGUUCAGCGAUACGGUAUCCUUUUCGCAGCGUCUCUACCAUUACUCAACAACCUCCACUCUGAAGAAGUGCCCCUAACAUGAACUAUCCAAAUCAGCGGGCCGAUUAUUGAAACUCAUAGACAAAGCUAUAGACAAAGACGACAAAAAGGAUUUGGAGGGAUCCUAUUGGUGGAAGCGGGUGGUGGCAAUGGACAUAGGAGGUAGGUAAUGGACUAACUAAUGGCAACCCGCUAAAGACCCGAUACUUAGUCCAGCAUUUUGCCCCUUAGUCUACAGGAACCACCCAUUUCAACCAAUAGGAUCGCUCCAUACUCCCUAUGUCUUCUUAGUCUAUCGCUUUGUCCAUGAGUUUCAAUAAUCGGCCCGCAGAAUAGUAUAAUGCUUGCAAUACAUUUGAGACCACCUCUGAGGUGCACUGUACAGGACAUACCGACCAAAGUAUCUGCGAACGGCCCCCUCACUUUUGUUUGUUUAGAAGGGUCAUUUGUCUUACUUUUCAAUGGUCUCUCUGUACUUCUAACGUAGGUGGGCUGAGGAUACUGUAAUUGCUAUUUACUUUAUUCAUUAUUAAAUUUUUAGAAUGCGUUAUUUGUAUAUUAAUUUUUUGGCAGAGGAACUGAUUGUCAUCAUGACCAGGUGCAGAAAAAAAGUAAAAUUCUCGAAAAACUAUAACUAACCGGUUUGCUUAACCAAACCUCCCAAGUUGGGGUUUAACUCAAGUCCUUAAUGUAAUUUUA
RNAcentral lists this long non-coding RNA (2064 nucleotides) under Bemisia tabaci. Its description in RNAcentral is "lncRNA ENSSWEETPG007979". Lineage: Eukaryota; Metazoa; Arthropoda; Insecta; Hemiptera; Aleyrodidae. The record is from RNAcentral.